RNAcentral lists this ribosomal RNA (250 nucleotides) under uncultured bacterium. Its description in RNAcentral is "partial 16S ribosomal RNA". It matches the Rfam family "Bacterial small subunit ribosomal RNA", at positions 524 to 773 of the family's 1533-position model. The record is from RNAcentral.
UACGGGGGGAGCAAACGUUGUUCGGAAUUACUGGGCGUAAAGGGCGUGCAGGCGGCCUUGUAAGUGGGAUGUGAAAUGCCCUGGCUCAACCAGGGAACUGCAUCCCAGACUGCAAGGCUUGAGUAUAGGAGAGGAUGGGGGAAUUCCCGGUGUAGCGGUGAAAUGCAUUGAUAUCGGGAGGAACACCAGUGGCGAAGGCGCCCAUCUGGCCUAAUACUGACGCUCAGGCGCGAAAGCUAGGGGAGCAAAC